UGGGGAAUAUUGCACAAUGGGCGCAAGCCUGAUGCAGCCAUGCCGCGUGUGUGAAGAAGGCCUUCGGGUUGUAAAGCACUUUCAGCGAGGAGGAAGGUGGUGAACUUAAUACGUUCAUCAAUUGACGUUACUCGCAGAAGAAGCACCGGCUAACUCCGUGCCAGCAGCCGCGGUAAUACGGAGGGUGCAAGCGUUAAUCGGAAUUACUGGGCGUAAAGCGCACGCAGGCGGUUUGUUAAGUCAGAUGUGAAAUCCCCGGGCUCAACCUGGGAACUGCAUUUGAAACUGGCAAGCUAGAGUCUCGUAGAGGGGGGUAGAAUUCCAGGUGUAGCGGUGAAAUGCGUAGAGAUCUGGAGGAAUACCGGUGGCGAAGGCGGCCCCCUGGACGAAGACUGACGCUCAGGUGCGAAAGCGUGGGGAGCAAACAGAUUAGAUACCCUGGUAGUCCACGCUGUAAAACGAUGUCGAUUUUGGAGGUUGUGCCCUUGAGGCGUGGCUUCCGGAGCUAACG
RNAcentral lists this ribosomal RNA (511 nucleotides) under uncultured bacterium. RNAcentral's name for it is "partial 16S ribosomal RNA". It matches the Rfam family "Bacterial small subunit ribosomal RNA", at positions 355 to 857 of the family's 1533-position model. The record is from RNAcentral.